This 2738-nucleotide long non-coding RNA is filed under the name Paramuricea clavata. The record is from RNAcentral. Lineage: Eukaryota; Metazoa; Cnidaria; Anthozoa; Malacalcyonacea; Plexauridae.
UACUUUAUUUAAAGUGCCACUAACCCCCUAAAUUUUCUUUUCAUAAAAUCAAUAACCGCUAUUUAUGGAGUACAAAAAUGAAAAAAUUUUUUUAAUCGGUUGAAUUCUCGCUAUUCUAUGGCUUCUCAAAGUUUGAAAAAUUGCCCUAAAAUCGACGCCAUUUUGUCCCACGAGCGAGCGCCGAUGAUCUGGGCUUGUGACGUCAAUUGGUGAACCGGCUGUUGUGUCAACACAAGUGUUUACAGUGCUAGGCGAGUUUGUUAGGCAUGCGAGCGGCGAGAAAAUGCCGAAAAGAUGCGUUGUUGCCGGUUGUAACAACAUAGGAGAUAAGGAAAGAGAAAUAUCGUUGCAUGCAAUUUCUUAUUCGGGGGACGAACGGCCCGAAGCGAAAAAAAACGAAAGAAAUGGACUGACUUCGUACUAAGCCUCAAACGUGCAAAAUGGACGCCGACGUCGUAUUCAGUCAUAUGCUAUGAGCAUUUCAAGCCCGAGGAUUUUUUGCGACGGUUUGCCCAUGUCGAAGGUGAAAGCUUCGUUGGCAACAGAUGGCUCAAAAGGGACGAGAUCCGAAUUUGUGUAUUCCCAACAAUCAUGCCAUCAGCUGACGCACAGAAAGUUUCAGACAGAUACAAGAGAAUGGUAUGCUAAUUUUGUAUUUUAUACAUAAUUGUGCGUAACUUGAAUUUGUUUGACUAAACUGAUUUAAUUAAUAAACAUAUCAUUAUAUAACAUGCUAACACUUAAACUGAUGUACAGUAAUUGGAUAAAGCAUAUAAGAAAGACAAUUUCGUUUAUUCUGUGAGAGCUUUCUUUGUCAUUUCUGUCUUCAGCCUUGCAGAUUUUUGUAAUUUCCGUGUGCAAUUUGAUACAGUAUUAUACAGUGAUAUAAUUCUCCAUCUAUGUCUCUUGCUAUGCGUAUGUUUUAGUGAAGUCAAUAUGCCCACUAUGACCCAUAGGUGUGUAUUUUAAGGAUGUCUCAGGAGGGUAUCAUAUUUGACUGUCAAAAUAAUUAUAGUGAAAUAUUGAUCAAUGCAUACCAUGUACCCAUGCAUAUAUAGAUAUUUUAUUUUUCCAUUAUACAGUUACAGUUUUGAUAAAAUAUAAAGAUACAAUUCAUAUGGAAGGAAGACUAACAAGCCCGUCAGGGCUUUUCUAGUAGUCCACCCUAAAAAAUUUAAAAAACAAACUAAUAUAACAAAGGAGAAUAGUGUCAGAUAAUGUCAGGUUCAAGAUAUAUGAGGUCCACUAAUACAAAUUUACAGAUUAUGUCGAAGAAAUAUUUCAAACUUUUCUCAAUGUUACCAAAGAUGAUCUUAAAAAGGCAGCCAAGCAACUCAAAGAGUACGGUGUCUUUGCAAAGUGUUGCCCACUGCCUAUGGCCCAUAGAUAAGUUACCCAGUAUGCUUGCUGUUAAUUUAAAUCUUUUUGUUACUGUAGUUUCACUACUACGUUGUUGAACAGAGCCAAAAGAAGUCUAAAGGAGCACCAAAAUGCAGGGCAUGUGAACAACCCAUGAAAGGACACAAGUUUGUUACAGACUGUCCAAGGAAUGAAAGGAGCACAUCAUAGUGUAUUAUAUGGAUAAGGCAUUUGAGGAAGGAGGGCAUAUUGGGAGGUGGUUUUUUUUUCAGAAGGGCAUAUUAGGAUUAUUCAGGAUGUUGGGGAUUUAUAAUAGAGAUUGGGGCUUAUAUUACAGCAGGAAGGGUUUUAACAGAGGGGAAAUAUUUGGAAGGGUGGUGCUUAUUACGGAUGGAGCUUACUAGGGAGGGUGGUGCUUAUUAGGAGAGGACUCAAUAGAGUGGGUACUUUAUAAGGAGGGUAGUGCUUAUUAGGGGGGGGGGCUAAUAGAGAGGGUGGUGAUUAUUGUGGGAGGGGCUUAAUAGCAGAGUGCUUUAUAGGCAGGGUGGUGAUAUUUGUUAAAUAAAUUAUAUUAUGCACUACUUGUAUCAAGUUUUUUCUACUUUACUUCUUUUCUAUCCCUGAUGAGCACUAGUCAAAACUGAUUUAUGUUGAUACCAAAUAUGUUCCAUAUAGGUUUCAUUAGAGUAUAAUAUUUAAAUAGUACAGUAAAACCCUGCUUUACAAAAGAACCAGUUCAGACUAGAAUUCCAAAACAGCUUCUUAUUUUAUCGAAGAAGCAAAAAAUUAAACAUCAAUUAAAGAAAAUAAGCUCUUUAUAAAAUAAUGGAAACACUGUUAUUUUGUAAACAUCUACGGUAGGUUCUUAUACGAUGGGUUUUACUGUAUGUUAGCUUAGUCAUUAAUGAUUCAUCUUUUGUGAGAGGGCAUGUCUUCCUUAUUGCAUGGUAUGCACAUGCAGCAGUGGGAUUCUUGUUUUUCCAAUUACACCAUACACCAUCCUUGUAAACUUUCUGUAUGCCACACUAUGUAAAAACCUAGAAGAAAUGAACAACUUUAUCAUAAGUAAUCAUAUGUAGACAAAUGCAAAAACUAUUUCAAUAAAAUAGUAUUUUAUAUUACAAAGAACAACCCAAACUAUAAUAGCUAUAUAUAGAAACUAUACAUGUACAUAUAGUUCCAGAUUUUGGUUACACCAACAUUCAUUUUUGAGAUGUUGAUGCUUAUUGGAGACAUUGGUCAUGGAACAGUGUGUACCCCCAUAAAUAUAUCCCUGAAAGAGGAUAAAGCUCUAUAUAUUGAACAGUCUGUUUAGUCUUUACAUUUUUACACAAAUUUUGGAAACAAUAGACCUUACCAUUUAUUCACUUUUGACCAAA